This 1023-nucleotide ribosomal RNA is filed under the name Bacillus sp. (in: firmicutes). Its description in RNAcentral is "bacterial SSU rRNA". It matches the Rfam family "Bacterial small subunit ribosomal RNA", at positions 36 to 1035 of the family's 1533-position model. Lineage: Bacteria; Bacillati; Bacillota; Bacilli; Caryophanales; Bacillaceae. The record is from RNAcentral.
CCCGGGGCGGCGGCCUAAUAAUGCAGUCGAGCGGAACUCGAUUAAAAUCUGUGCUUCUAUAGAAGUGAGCGGCGGAUGGGUGAGUAUCCGAGCGCAACCUGCCUGUAAGAAUGGGAUAACUUCGGGACGCGAUACUAAUACCGGAUAGGAUCUUCUCCUUCAUGGGAUAUGAUUGCUUGAUGGUUUCGACUAUCACAUACCUAAGGGCCCGCGGUGCAUUAUCUAGGCUGGUGAGGUAACGGCUCACCAAGGCAACGAUGCAUAACCGACCUGACAGGGUGAUCUGGCCACACUGGGACUGACACACGGCCCACACUCCUACGGGAUUUUGGAUAUGGAAUCUUCCCUGAGGACGAAAGUCUGACGGAUGACGCCGCGUGAGUGAUGAAGGCUUUCGGGUCGUAAAACUCUGUUGUUGUGAAGAACAUCUACGGCAGUAACUGCUCGUACCUUGACGGUACCUAACCAAAAAGCCACCGCUAACUACGUGCCAACAUCCGCGGUAAUACUUAAGUGGAAAGCGUUAUCCGGAAUUAUUGGGCGUAAAGCUCGCGCAUGCGGUUUCUUAUCUCUGAUGUCAAACCCCACAGUUCAACCGAGAAUGGUCAGUGAAAACUGGGGAAAUUGAGUGCGAAUUACACGUGCAGAAUUCCACUUGUAACAGUGAAAUGCGUACAGAUGUGGAGGAACACCCCUGCUGAAUGCAGAUUGAUGCUCUUGCACUGACGCGUGAGGCACCAAAGCGUAUUAGAGCACCCUGGAUUCCAUACCCUGAUACUAUACGCAGUAAACGACGAGUGCUAAUUGUUUGGGGUUUCCGCCCAUUCGUGCUGCAGCUAACCCGUUAAGCACUCCCCCUGGAUAGUACGGUCAAGGAACUGAAGGUCACACGCACUAACGGGGGAUCACACGAACGAUGCAGCAUGAGCGUUAAUUCCAUGCACCACCCAUGACCUUACCAGGAUCAUCGACAUACAUCUGACACUCUCCAGAUAGAACGCUCCACCUUCGGGGCACAAAGUC